UGAUCCAUGGCUCAGGAUGAACGCUGGCGGCGUGCCUAAUACAUGCAAGUCGAGCGAACGGAUAAGGAGCUUGCUCCUUUGAAGUUAGCGGCGGACGGGUGAGUAACACGUGGGUAACCUACCUAUAAGACUGGAAUAACUUCGGGAAACCGGAGCUAAUGCCGGAUAACAUUUGGAACCGCAUGGUUCUAAAGUAAAAGAUGGUUUUGCUAUCACUUAUAGAUGGACCCGCGCCGUAUUAGCUAGUUGGUAAGGUAACGGCUUACCAAGGCAACGAUACGUAGCCGACCUGAGAGGGUGAUCGGCCACACUGRAACUGAGACACGGUCCAGACUCCUACGGGAGGCAGCAGUAGGGAAUCUUCCGCAAUGGACGAAAGUCUGACGGAGCAACGCCGCGUGAGUGAUGAAGGUUUUCGGAUCGUAAAACUCUGUUAUUAGGGAAGAACAAAUGUGUAAGU
Molecule: ribosomal RNA, 460 nt
Filed under: Staphylococcus equorum
Lineage: Bacteria; Bacillati; Bacillota; Bacilli; Caryophanales; Staphylococcaceae
Description: bacterial SSU rRNA
Rfam family: Bacterial small subunit ribosomal RNA
Source: RNAcentral